GACGAACGCUGGCGGCGUGCCUAAUACAUGCAAGUCGAGCGGCUUAAGUUUUCUUCGGAAAACUURGGUAGCGGCGGACGGGUGAGUAACACGUAGGCAACCUGCCUGUAAGAUCGGGAUAACCCACGGAAACGUGAGCUAAUACCGAAUAAGUAAUYCWCUCGCAUGAGGGGGUUAAGAAAGACGGAGCAAUCUGUCACUUACAGAUGGGCCUGCGGCGCAUUAGCUAGUAGGUGAGGUAAUGGCUCACCUAGGCGACGAUGCGUAGCCGACCUGAGAGGGUGAACGGCCACACUGGGACUGAGACACGGCCCAGACUCCUACGGGAGGCAGCAGUAGGGAAUCUUCCGCAAUGGACGAAAGUCUGACGGAGCAACGCCGCGUGAGUGAUGAAGGUUUUCGGAUCGUAAAGCUCUGUUGCCAGGGAAGAACGCUUAGGAGAGUAACUGCUCUUAAGGUGACGGUACCUGAGAAGAAAGCCCCGGCUAACUAC
The sequence is a ribosomal RNA, 493 nucleotides long. It matches the Rfam family "Bacterial small subunit ribosomal RNA", at positions 28 to 504 of the family's 1533-position model.